GUCACGCCCUAAACGAUGUCAACUGGUUGUUGGGAGGGUUUCUUCUCAGUAACGAAGCUAACGCGUGAAGUUGACCGCCUGGGGAGUACGGCCGCAAGGUUGAAACUCAAAGGAAUUGACGGGGACCCGGCACAAGCGGUGGAUGAUGUGGUUUAAAUUCGAUGCAACGCGAAAAACCUUAACCUACCCUUGACAUGUCAAGAAUCUUGCAGAGAUGUGAGAGUGCUCGAAAGAGAACUUGAACACAGGUGCUGCAUGGCCGUCGU
This 266-nucleotide ribosomal RNA is filed under the name uncultured bacterium. RNAcentral's name for it is "partial 16S ribosomal RNA". It matches the Rfam family "Bacterial small subunit ribosomal RNA", at positions 794 to 1055 of the family's 1533-position model. The record is from RNAcentral.